GACGUAGGGGGCCAGCGUUGUUCGGAAUUACUGGGUGUAAAGGGUUCGUAGGCGGUGCGGCAAGUUGGGAGUGAAAUCUCUGGGCUUAACCCAGAGGCUGCUUCCAAAACUGCUGUGCUUGAGUGUGGGAGAGGCGCGUGGAAUUGCAGGUGUAGCGGUGAAAUUCGUAGAUAUUCGGAAGAACACCAGUGGCGAAGGCGACUUACUGGACACAUAUUGACGCUGAGGUGCGAAAGCGUGGGGAGCAAACAGG
This 253-nucleotide ribosomal RNA is filed under the name uncultured bacterium. RNAcentral describes it as "partial 16S ribosomal RNA". It matches the Rfam family "Bacterial small subunit ribosomal RNA", at positions 524 to 776 of the family's 1533-position model. The record is from RNAcentral.